AAGAGACUGGAAAAACAACACGGUGUGAGCAUUAUGGCAGUGGAAGUUCAAAUCGGAUGACUUUAGAUCUAGUCGGGGUGAGGUCGUGAAUCUAGGAAAAGUCUAGAUGGUAAUGAACGUGUCCAACGGGAUGUCAUGGUAUAUGUUACAUGCGUUGUCAACAAUCAAAUGGAUUGAGAAAAGACUUUGGACACAACCGAGGUGGUGGUCGGGUGUCCGAGAAAGGUCGAGAAUCGAGAUGGUUCUAAAAGGUGAUUAAACGUUGUAGUUAAUGGGUGGUAUGACCAAUCUGAUUAAGGGGGUGAUUGUUGGGUUAAUCGGAUUUAUGAGUGCAGGGGCAUUUUAGGAAAGUUAUAUAUUUAAGUUUUGUUUGAUUGUUUUAGAGUUUGAUAAGGUUUCUAUUUUACUUAGUUCAUCCUUUACAUUUAGAUUUUGAGUAGGAUACUAUCUUAAUUAGUAUAAAUAGCUGUAGUCGUUUGUUUUGUUAAUGUAAUUUCCGAUGCUUCUAUUUAGUUCAACUUUGUUAGCAAGCAACUUGUUUCUUUUUUUCUGUUUCGUUUAGUUUUAUUACUUUGCCUUGGUGCACAAGGUGUAACUUUUUUUUUUACACUUGGUAUCAGAGCGAGGUGACGACGGUGCCAGUUUGAGAGUCGGUUUAAAGAAAAACAUAGCCUUUCGUUGUGGGGCAGACGCAGUGGGAACUGGGUUCGGUUUAAGGUGGUGUGGAUUGUUUUUGAGCGUGAGUUGAAGCAUCUCAACAGCAGCCCCAAUUUUUUUGAUCGGGUUUGUUCUAAGGUACAGAGAGACCAACCGGAGGCACAGAAUAAACGAACAUGAAGACGUCAAAGUGGGUGAAUUUGAUUUAGUUCGUUUUGCAGGUGACGGAAGACGGUAAAAGUGGUCGUGACCUUGUCUUGUUGUUCGGUGGAAAAGUGCUCUCAGAACAAGUUUGAUUAGGUCAGGGUUGUCAAAAAAAAAAGAAUAAGACGUUGAUCGGUUGAAAUCAGAAGGCAUAAAGUUCUUGAUCAGUUUGUUCAGGUUGAAAUCAGAAGGCAUAAAGUUCUUGAUCCGUCAAAAAAGGUAGCUUUGGAUACAGUUCGUUUGCCAGGUUGAAAGAAAACGGUGAAGUGGGUGGCUUUGUUUUCUUCGUCGGUGGAGUCGCCUCUUUGAAGAACGGUAAUCGAAACAAAGGAAGAGACUGGAAAAACAACACGAUGUGAGCAUUAUGGCAGUGGAAGUUCGAAUCGGAUGACUUUGGAUCUAGUCGGGGUGAGGUCGUGAAUCAAGGGAAAGUCUAGAUGGUAAUGAAUGUGUCCAACGGGAUGUCAUGGUAUAUGUUACAUGUGUUAUCAACAAUCAAAUGGAUUGAGAGAAUACUUUGGACGCAAUCGAGGUAGUGGUCUGGUGUCCGGGAAAGGUCGAGAAUCGAGAUGGUUCUAAAAGGUGAUUAAACGUUGUAGUUAAUGGGUGGUAUGACCAAUCCGAUUAAGGGGGUGAUUGUUGGGUUAAUUGGAUUUAUGAGUGGAGGGGCAUUUUAGGAAAGUUAUAUAUUUAAGUUUUGUUUGAUUGUUUUAGAGUUUGAUAAGGUUUCUAUUUUACUUAGUUCAUCUUUUUCAUUUAGAUUUUGAGCAGGAUACUAUCUUAAUUAGUAUAAAUAGUUGUAGUCGUUUGUUUUGUUAAUGUAAUUUGCAGAGCUUCUAUUUAGUUUAACUUUGUUAGCAAGCAACUUGUUUCUUUUUUUUCUGUUUCAUUUAGUUUUAUUUCUUUGCCUUGGUGCACAAGGUGUAACUUUUUUUACACUUGGUAUCAUAGCGAGGUGAAGACGGUGCCGGUUUCCAGAAAACCAUAGCCUUUCGAUGUGGGGCAGACGCAGCGGGAACCGGGUUCGGUUAAAGGGGGUGUGGAUUAGUUUUUAGUGUGAGUUGAAGCAUCUCAACAGCAACCCCAAUUUUUUUGUUCGGGCUUGUUCUAAGGUAGAGAGAGACUAACCGGAGGCGUGGAAUAAACGGACGGGAAGACGUCAAAGUGGUGACUUUGAUUUAGUUCGUUUUGCGUGUGACGGAAGACGGUAAAAGUGGUCGUGACCUUGUCUCUUUGUUUGGUGGAAAAGUGCUCUCAGAACAAGUUUGAUAGGUUGGGGUUGUCAAAAAAAAGAAUAAGACGUUGUUCGGUUGAAAUCAGAAGGCAUAAACUUCUUGAUCGGUUUGUUCGUGAUAAGGGGAUACCGACGUAGAUGCGUGAAAAGCGGGCAGGAAGGAUCCGUCAAAAUAGGUAGCUUUGGAUUCAGUUCAUUUGGCAGGUUGAAAGAAAACGGUGAAUCGGGUGGCUUUGUUUUCUUCGUCGAUGGAGUCGCCUCUUUGAAGAACGGUAAUCGAAACAAAGGAAGAGACUGGAAAAACAACACGGUGUGAGCAUUAUGGCAGUGGAGGUUCAAAUCGAAUGACUUUGGAUCUAGUCGGGGUGAGGUCGUGAAUCUAGGAAAAGUCUAGAUGGUAAUGAACGUGUCCAACGGGAUGUCAUGGUAUAUGUUACAUGCGUUGUCAACAAUCAAAUGGAUUGAGAAAACACUUUGGACGCAACCGAGGUGGUGGUCGGGUGUCCGGGAAAGGUCGAGAAUCGAGAUGGUUCUA
Molecule: long non-coding RNA, 2630 nt
Filed under: Lactuca sativa (garden lettuce)
Lineage: Eukaryota; Viridiplantae; Streptophyta; Magnoliopsida; Asterales; Asteraceae
Description: long non-coding RNA (LSAT_LNC000954)
Source: RNAcentral